This 288-nucleotide long non-coding RNA is filed under the name Lathyrus oleraceus (garden pea). RNAcentral describes it as "Pisum sativum (pea) long non-coding RNA (PSAT_LNC023767)". The record is from RNAcentral. Lineage: Eukaryota; Viridiplantae; Streptophyta; Magnoliopsida; Fabales; Fabaceae.
CCGGAUCGCACUCUGAUAGUGCACUCAUUCUAAUUCAACCUCAGUCUGAAUUAUCUCCACUGGUCAAACGACUUGCCCCCAGUCUGCCAGAUGCCCCUCUUCUGACUGGGACUUUGCUAUCAUGUCAUAGCAUAGCAUUCCAUUUCAUGAUGAAUCAUAUCAUGAAACGAAGUCACCAUGGCUCUCUGAUAUAGGCACUGGCGUUCUGCUUCUCUAGAGGACAGUCUUCUCUCUAUGGUAGCUUGUGAGCAACGACAUCGGUGUUUGACCUUGGCGUAUCCUGACGUG